This 1644-nucleotide unclassified non-coding RNA is filed under the name Hevea brasiliensis (rubber tree). Lineage: Eukaryota; Viridiplantae; Streptophyta; Magnoliopsida; Malpighiales; Euphorbiaceae. The record is from RNAcentral.
UGGGAUCCUUGAUAGUUCUUGCUCAUAUGAUCUCAUUAUUGUCAGUAUCUUCUAGUUCACAGCAGGGUUUUCCAGAGGCACUUCUUGUCCAACUUUUGAAAGCAAUGCUGCAUCCAGAUGUUGGGGUGCGUGUUGGAGCACACCAGAUAUUUUCAAUGCUUCUCAUUCCAAGCUCUAAUCAUUCACGCCAUGGAGUUGUGUCUUUGCAUUCCGGUUAUAUUUGUGAACCAAGAAGAUGGCGUUCCAAUACUGUGUCUACAUUUUCGUCUAUUGCAGCUUUACUUGAAAAGCUUCGAAGAGAGAAGGAUGGUGCCAGAAUGGAAAAACAUAAAAGUAACAGUCUUGAUGAUUGCAGAGAAAGGGAAGUUAUAGAAGAAGAUUGGAAACAGGGGCGACCCCGAAAAAAUUCCCCUAACUUUCUCAAAAUUAGUUCUAUUAUUGAUAGAACCUCUGGGACAACAAGCUUGGUUGAGGUGGAGCCUUAUGUUAUGAAACUUAGUGAGGACCAAAUAGCACAAUUGCUGUCUGCCUUCUGGAUACAAGCCAAUCUUCCAGAUAACUUGCCCUCUAAUAUUGAAGCUAUAGCUCAUUCAUUCAUGCUGACGCUUAUUUCUUCACGAUUGAAGAACCCAAGUGACGGCCUCUUGGUCCGCUUCUUUCAGCUUUCCCUAUCUCUCAGGAAUUUAUCGUUGGACCCUAACAAUGGGAUGUUAUGUCCAGCUUGCCAGAGAUCAAUUUUUGUAUUAUCAACAGGCAUGUUGAUGUUUGCUGCUAAGAUAUAUCAAAUUACUGAGUUGAAUGAUUUAGUUAAGUCGGUACUUCCAAAUGAUGUUGAUCCUUAUCUUGGCAUUAGUGAUGACCUUCAAGUGCAUGCAAAGCCUCAGGCAGAUGCAAGGGAAUAUGGAUCUGUCAGUGAUAAUCAAAUAGCCUCAUCGUUACUUCUCGAGUUGAGGAACAAACUAUUUGAAUCUGACAAGGUCAUAAUGGACACCUUAAUUGAGAAUCUAUCUAAUGCUACCGAGCUGGAGAAGGAUGACUUGGCGAGACAAUUGCAAGAACCAUUCACGCCUGAUGAUGCAUUUGUCUUCGGUCCUCAAUCAUUACUUGAUAUGGACCACAAGCAAAUGGUUUCCCAUUCUAAGGAAUCACUCUCCUUUGAUGAGGAUAUGCCAACAAGCUCGUUGAUUGAGGAUGACGCAUUUAGCGAAGCAUCAGUUGCAGACAUGUCUCGCUUCAUUCCCAAAAUGCCAUCAUCUCCUUCUGUUUCCCACAUUAUUGGCAUUGGGAAGCUUUUGGAAUCGGCACUCGAGGUAGCUGGUCAAGUGGCAGGAACAUCCAUCUCUACAUCACCUCUCCCAUACGACACCAUGGCAAAACAGUGUGAAGAUCUUGGCAAAGGCACAAGGAAGAAGCUUUCCAAUUGGUUAGCCCAUGAAACUCAUUAUGCUAGAGGAGCUGGCAAAUUUUUACCAGAAUUUCCUGCUAGCGGAUGCCCUGCGCUAGAGAAGAUUAUGCAAGGCGCUGUGAAGCCAAUGGACCCAUGCUUGGCUAUGAGGUUGCCUCCUGCUAGUCCUUUCGAUAACUUUCUUAAAGCAGCUGGAUGUUAGAAGAUGAACAACAUGCAUGUGUUCUGUUAUCAAUGUU